Molecule: long non-coding RNA, 874 nt
Filed under: Triticum aestivum (bread wheat)
Lineage: Eukaryota; Viridiplantae; Streptophyta; Magnoliopsida; Poales; Poaceae
Description: long non-coding RNA (TAES_LNC027428)
Source: RNAcentral
UGAUCCGUGGAACAGGAACGUGGCUUUUCUGGUAGUGCGGCCGCAUAGAGUUAUUGUAGGGUUCGUUUCCUCUCUGAAACUUGUAGAGGCGAAUCCGGGGUAGGAGACGGCGCAAGGGAUGGAUUUCUUGAUGCAGACUAUAAGCGGGUAAGCGAUGGAAUCUUUGGUUUGGCUUAACUAAUUUGGAGUAGGAUGUCUGCUGAAUAUGCUAUCUGUUGUGUAUCCGUACCAGAUCCCCUGUGCUUUAAGAGGUCGAGGACAAUGAAGCCCCCCAUGGAUCUGCCACCUUCCACGGUGGCUGCUUUGGUGGGGAAGCUGGAACAAGCGCCGGCGCCAGUCUUGACUGUAGGCGCGCAGAUCUGGGAUGAAGAAGCCGUGGUGAUUGGAGGAAGGAAGAACUCACCCCCGGUGUCCGCGCAGUCGACCAGCAAGCCCGGGGUGGACUAAGAGGUUAGUGCAUAACUGAAAAAAUCCUAUUGAUUUCCACUUGCUUGGUGUGCGUCAUUGACAUGGAAGUAUGUGGCGUUCACAGUUAGUCUACUAGCAGCCUGCAUAUAGAUUUGGGAGCUCUAUGGGUGACUUGUGUUAGAAAAGUAAUUUUUUUCCUUCCACUUGCGCAACUGUUGGAAACACCACUUCAGUAAAACUUGAUAUGUGGGUUUCAGUUGUGGGCAGUAAUUUGGUUGAUAUUAGUCUGUAUUGCUGUUCUGGCAUUGAAUAAUUUACAAUCUAGUGAUGUCACUGUCGAAUGGUAUAAAUUUGGACUUCUAUUUAGACAUAUUUGGGCAGAGUACGGGCCGGCUCAACGGCACCGGCAGUACACUUUGUCCAAAUAGGGUGACCACUUUAGAGAAAGCAAUAAAGGAAUUCGCGG